UUGAGUUAAACAUUAAUGAAGCCUAAAAGUUUUUUUGAUGUUAUUUUUCAAUUACUUAUAUAUUCUAUUAAAAAUAAUUUUGAAAAUAGCUAAAAUUAUAAAGAAAAAGAUAAUCUAUAGGUCGAGCAAACUAAUACUUCAUAUGAUAAAUUUCAUAAACCCAGCAUAAAGCAUAAUUUUCUUUAACAAAUAAGCAAAAACACCGACAACAAAGGCAAAUAACUUAUCCUAGAACUGUGUUUAAUUGCUCUCCUUCACUUCAAA
Molecule: unclassified non-coding RNA, 264 nt
Filed under: Hevea brasiliensis (rubber tree)
Lineage: Eukaryota; Viridiplantae; Streptophyta; Magnoliopsida; Malpighiales; Euphorbiaceae
Source: RNAcentral